This is a long non-coding RNA of Lolium rigidum, 256 nucleotides long. RefSeq lists it as uncharacterized. The transcript is spliced from 3 exons. The record is from RefSeq and is a predicted model, not a curated record. Lineage: Eukaryota; Viridiplantae; Streptophyta; Magnoliopsida; Poales; Poaceae.
CCCAAAUUAAACCUAGCCGCCUCCCUCCCUCCCCUUCCCCAGGGUGCCUCUCGGCCGUUCACCCACGAGCAGGGCCUUCAUCGCCGGCGAGUAGUGGCUGCUGAUGAUGCAGCCAAGAUGUGUUUGAGCCAACUCCCUGACGUGGAGGUUUCUCGAAGAGCCGACGCGCCGAUUCGCAUCACAGAGGGCGCGACGGUGCAAUGGAACGACAGGGAAUUUUGUGCAUCCUUGGCAAGUGUGAUGGCGUAGAGUAAGG